GGAAGCUGUUUGAGUUGGAGCUUUGCCCACGUUUCCCUAACCCACCUUGUGCACCUCCUUCCACCCUGUUUUCACUUGAUAUGUUUAGGAGACAGAAACAAAAAUAAGUUCUUAACAAAAAGUCUGACCAAGAAGAGUUCAAGGGGCAGAUGCCAGGAAAACAGCAGAAGCAGCACAUUCAGUUGGUUUCUGUCUGGGUGCAGGUCCCAACAAACAGGGCAGAUACCAGUGGCAAGAAGCCGCUGUGCAGCCACACCAGUUUGUACAAUCCUGUGUACAAGGCCAACUGCUCGGACAUCAUGAAGCUCCCGGUGUGGACCACAAACAGGGCUGGCAAGAAUCCAGGCUGACCGCUCUGAAUUCUCCCAAAAUUGCUUGGGAUGGCAUUAUUAUUUCCUCAGUCAACAGACGCAAAUCUCACCACCACUUCCAGCCCCGCCCCAUCCACGUUCAGCUCACUCUCCACCCAGCAAGGAGAUGAACUAAGCAGCACAGGGACAGUCAAUGGAGGACACAUACCAAAUAACGUAAAGAUCACUACACCUGAAUUUGCAUAACAAUCUGUGAGAGUUUAGAAAAAGUACUUAAAAUCU
Molecule: long non-coding RNA, 593 nt
Filed under: Equus asinus (donkey)
Lineage: Eukaryota; Metazoa; Chordata; Mammalia; Perissodactyla; Equidae
Description: lncRNA (ENSEASG00005037938.1)
Source: RNAcentral